AGCGUGAAGCCCCCCUCAAGAUGAGAUUUCCCAGUAUGUAAGACCCCUUGAAGACGACGAGGUUGAUAGGUUCGAGGUGGAAGCGCAGCAAUGCGUGGAGCUGACGAAUACUAAUCGGUCGAGGGCUUAUCCUAGAA
RNAcentral lists this ribosomal RNA (137 nucleotides) under Paenibacillus sacheonensis. RNAcentral's name for it is "partial 23S ribosomal RNA". It matches the Rfam family "Bacterial large subunit ribosomal RNA", at positions 2784 to 2925 of the family's 2925-position model. Lineage: Bacteria; Bacillati; Bacillota; Bacilli; Caryophanales; Paenibacillaceae. The record is from RNAcentral.